GCAUGCCGCGGUGAAUACGUUCCCGGGUCUUGUACACACCGCCCGUCACACCACGAGAGUUGGUAACACCCGAAGUCGGUGAGGUAACCUUUUGGAGCCAGCCGCCGAAGGUGGGACCAAUGAUUGGGGUGAAGUCGUAACAAGGUAGCCGUAUCGGAAGGUGCGGCUGGAUCACCUCCUUUCUAAGGA
RNAcentral lists this ribosomal RNA (189 nucleotides) under Bacilli bacterium. RNAcentral describes it as "partial 16S ribosomal RNA". It matches the Rfam family "Bacterial small subunit ribosomal RNA", at positions 1352 to 1533 of the family's 1533-position model. The record is from RNAcentral. Lineage: Bacteria; Bacillati; Bacillota; Bacilli.